AGUCGAGCGGAGCCAGUUGAUAGUUUACUAUUGACUGAAGCUUAGCGGCGGACGGGUGAGUAACGCGUGGGCAACCUGCCCUCUAGCCUGGGAUAACAGCGCGAAAGUGCUGCUAACACCGGAUAUGCUCACAGGGAGACAUCUCCCGGUGAGGAAAGUUUACACUAGAGGAUGGGCCCGCGUCCCAUUAGCUAGUUGGUGAGGUAACGGCUCACCAAGGCGACGAUGGGUAGCCGACCUGAGAGGGUGAUCGGCCACACUGGGACUGAGACACGGCCCAGACUCCUACGGGAGGCAGCAGUAGGGAAUUUUCCGCAAUGGGCGAAAGCCUGACGGAGCAACGCCGCGUGAGGGAUGAAGGUUUUCGGAUCGUAAACCUCUGUCAUCAGGGACGAUAAUGACGGUACCUGAUGAGGAAGCCACGGCUAACUACGUGCCAGCAGCCGCGGUAAUACGUAGGUGGCGAGCGUUGUCCGGAAUUACUGGGCGUAAAGGGCGUGUAGGCGGCCUUUUAAGUCAGAUGUGAAAUCUCAGGGCUUAACCCUGAAACUGCAUUUGAAACUGGAGGGCUUGAGGAUCGGAGAGGGCAGUGGAAUUCCCAGUGUAGCGGUGAUAUGCGUAGAUAUUGGGAAGAACACCAGUGGCGAAAGCGACUGCCUGGACGACACCUGACGCUGAGGCGCGAAAGCUAGGGUAGCGAACGGGAUUAGAUACCCCGG
RNAcentral lists this ribosomal RNA (719 nucleotides) under uncultured bacterium. Its description in RNAcentral is "bacterial SSU rRNA". It matches the Rfam family "Bacterial small subunit ribosomal RNA", at positions 60 to 790 of the family's 1533-position model. The record is from RNAcentral.